GAUGAACGCUGGCGGCGUGCUUAACACAUGCAAGUCGAACGGAAAGGCCAGUGCUUGCACUGGUACUCGAGUGGCGAGCGGGUGAGUAACACGUGGGUGAUCUGCCCUGCACUUCGGGAUAAGCCUGGGAAACUGGGUCUAAUACCGGAUAGGACAAUGGUUUGGAUGCCGUUGUGGAAAGUUUUUUCGGUGUGGGAUGAGCUCGCGGCCUAUCAGCUUGUUGGUGGGGUAAUGGCCUACCAAGGCGUCGACGGGUAGCCGGCCUGAGAGGGUGUACGGCCACAGUGGGACUGAGAUACGGCCCAGACUCCUACGGUAGGCAGCAGUGGGGAAUAUUGCACAAUGGGCGCAAGCCUGAUGCAGCGACGCCGCGUGGGGGAUGACGGCCUUCGGGUUGUAAACUCCUGUCGCUAGGGACGAAGCGUAUUUGUGACGGUACCUGGAGAAGAAGCACCGGCUAACUACGUG
RNAcentral lists this ribosomal RNA (468 nucleotides) under uncultured bacterium. RNAcentral's name for it is "partial 16S ribosomal RNA". It matches the Rfam family "Bacterial small subunit ribosomal RNA", at positions 28 to 507 of the family's 1533-position model. The record is from RNAcentral.